Molecule: long non-coding RNA, 775 nt
Filed under: Malus domestica (apple)
Lineage: Eukaryota; Viridiplantae; Streptophyta; Magnoliopsida; Rosales; Rosaceae
Description: long non-coding RNA (MDOM_LNC012772)
Source: RNAcentral
AAGAAAUAUACUGUGGGUCUCAGGAUCGACAGUGAGUGUAUGGAAAUGACGCAAAUUUUUGUUUUUUUUCCUUAGUAGAUAUAUGUUAUAUAUAGUAAAUGUAGAAAAAGAUUACAAACAGACAAUCAGCAUAGUGGAAAUCACGCAUGUUGCAUCCCUCAAGGUUUGUGUUUUGAAAACCCGUGUAUGCUUUAUUUUGAAAUUUAUAUGUUAUAUAUAGUAAAUGUAGAAAAAGAUUACAAAUAUACAAUCAGCAUAGUGGAAAUCACGCAAGUUGCAUCCCUCAAGGUUUGUGUUUUGAACCCCUGUGUAUGCUUUAUUUUGAAAAUUGAGUCAUUCCAUGUACAUUUAAGAGGGACAUGUUGCAGUCCUAAUUGGGUUAGGAAUGUGAUUGUGUAAAUCCUAUUAGGAUUCUGUAAUGUUGUUUAGAUACUGUCCUGAUUCAGUUGUAACACAUAAAGGGGAAGGUCAUAGUCCUAAUUAGGUUAGGAUUGUGAUUGUGUAAAUCAUAUUGAGAUUUUGUAAUAUCUUUUAGGUAGUGUCGUGAUUCAGUUGUAAUAACUCAAGGGUAAGAAAUUUAUCUUCCCUACUACUAUAAAUAAAGGAACAAUGAGGUUGAGAUAACACACCAUAGAUUGCACCAAAUUCUCUCUCUCCUUAUCGCCGCACCUCUCUCUCCUUGUCUAUAAUUCUUCAGUUAAAUACGUCUACAACAUGUUAUCAGUGUUGGAAAUAUGCCCUGAAAGUCAAUCUUUGGAAGAAACCUUUCAGGACA